This 253-nucleotide ribosomal RNA is filed under the name uncultured bacterium. RNAcentral's name for it is "partial 16S ribosomal RNA". It matches the Rfam family "Bacterial small subunit ribosomal RNA", at positions 524 to 776 of the family's 1533-position model. The record is from RNAcentral.
UACGUAGGGGGCAAGCGUUGUCCGGAAUCAUUGGGCGUAAAGAGCGUGUAGGCGGCCCGAUAAGUCCGCCGUGAAAGUCCAGGGCUCAACCCUGGAAUGCCGGUGGAAACUGUCGGGCUGGAGUCCGGAAGAGGCGAGUGGAAUUCCUGGUGUAGCGGUGAAAUGCGCAGAUAUCAGGAGGAACACCUAUAGCGAAGGCAGCUCGCUGGGACGACACUGACGCUGAGACGCGAAAGCGUGGGGAGCGAACAGG